UGAGUAACGCGUGAGUAACCUGCCUUUCAGAGGGGGAUAACGUUCUGAAAAGAACGCUAAUACCGCAUAACAUCAAUUUAUCGCAUGAUAGGUUGAUCAAAGGAGCAAUCCGCUGGAAGAUGGACUCGCGUCCGAUUAGCCAGUUGGCGGGGUAACGGCCCACCAAAGCGACGAUCGGUAGCCGGACUGAGAGGUUGAACGGCCACAUUGGGACUGAGACACGGCCCAGACUCCUACGGGAGGCAGCAUG
RNAcentral lists this ribosomal RNA (250 nucleotides) under uncultured bacterium. RNAcentral's name for it is "partial 16S ribosomal RNA". It matches the Rfam family "Bacterial small subunit ribosomal RNA", at positions 107 to 353 of the family's 1533-position model. The record is from RNAcentral.